This is a non-coding RNA of Perca fluviatilis (European perch), 554 nucleotides long. The record is from the annotation of a RefSeq genome assembly. NCBI's taxonomy places the organism in Eukaryota, Metazoa, Chordata, Actinopteri, Perciformes, Percidae.
GGAGCAGGGGAAGGCCACGCUCAUGUGCCUGGCCAACAAGGGCUUCCCCUCAGACUGGAGUCUGGCCUGGAAGGUGGACGGCAGCAGCAGCAGCAGCGUGGGAGGAGAGCAGGAGCCCCGGGUGCUGGGGAAGGACGGCCACUACAGCUGGAGCAGCACCCUGAGGCUCCCUGCAGACCAGUGGAGGAAGGUGGGCUCUGUGACCUGUGAGGCCACCCAGGGCUCCCAGACUCCGCUCUCAGAGACACUGAGGAGAGACCAGUGUUCCCAGUCCUGAGCUGACUCACUGGCAGGGACUCUGCUACUGGUUUUACUCUGACACUGCUCUCACUCUGCUCUCUGCAACUAGCUCUGGCUUUUAUUUCACCUGUUUCAGUAGCGAUAUUUUUCCGAAGUUUUGGUCACAUUUUCCGACAAUCGUCUGUCUCAUUUUUUUGUACUUGAGUAAUUCAGUCUUUUAUUUGACGUGUAUUGACAGCGCUAUUUGCCAGCUUGUUGCAGUGUUUCAGUAUUAUUUCAGUGUUUCCAGAUAAUAAAGACGUUUCAUCAAAUCA